RNAcentral lists this ribosomal RNA (402 nucleotides) under Parvimonas micra. Its description in RNAcentral is "bacterial SSU rRNA". It matches the Rfam family "Bacterial small subunit ribosomal RNA", at positions 54 to 439 of the family's 1533-position model. The record is from RNAcentral. Lineage: Bacteria; Bacillati; Bacillota; Tissierellia; Tissierellales; Peptoniphilaceae.
CAUGCAAGUCGAACGUGGUUUUUGUGGAAAUUCUUUCGAGAAUGGAAAUGAAAUGAAAGUGGCGAACGGGUGAGUAACACGUGAGCAACCUACCUUACACAGGGGGAUAGCCGUUGGAAACGACGAUUAAUACCGCAUGAGACCACAGAAUCGCAUGAUAUAGGGGUCAAAGAUUUAUCGGUGUAAGAAAGGCUCGCGUCUGAUUAGCUAGUUGGAAGGGUAAAGGCCUACCAAGGCGACGAUCAGUAGCCGGUCUGAGAGGAUGAGCGGCCACAUUGGAACUGAGACACGGUCCAAACUCCUACGGGAGGCAGCAGUAGGGAAUAUUGCACAAUGGGGGGAACCCUGAUGCAGCGACGCCGCGUGAACGAAGAAGGUUUUCGAAUCGUAAAGCUCUGUCCU